RNAcentral lists this ribosomal RNA (118 nucleotides) under uncultured eukaryote. Its description in RNAcentral is "partial 18S ribosomal RNA". It matches the Rfam family "Eukaryotic small subunit ribosomal RNA", at positions 1299 to 1458 of the family's 1831-position model. The record is from RNAcentral.
UGGUGGAGUGAUGUGUCUGGUUAAUUCGUUAACGAACGAGACCUUGACAUGCUAACUAGUGUCGCACUGCUUAGAGGAACUUUGUGUGCCCAGCAUGAGGAAGUUUGAAGCAAUAACA